AGAGAAGAAACAUUAGUUGAAGAAGCAGUCCUUUUGCAUUCGCAACGCGUUGGUAGGUGGAUAAUGAGUCUCACAGACCCUAAACAGAGUCUCAGUGGCUAGGAUUGGUGCAAAACUAAGCACCUGACAUUCUCUGACGGGGCUGGGAGACUCAGAGGAGGGAUGCUGCUUCGUAUGUCACAGAAAUUAUGAAUGGGCAGCAAAGAGUGCUUCAAGAAAGGCAAGAAUUCACCAGCAGAAUGAGGAGUGCAAACCUGUGAGCUUCAUUGCUUCCUCUUGGUGGAGAGACACAGAGCAAAAAAAAGAUAUCAUUGUUCCAGAGGGUAGAAAGUUGUGUGAAUAUUCCAAAGCACCGUCAAUCUCUGAAGUGACUUUUCAGCUAUGGACCCAAAGUGCCAAUCUUCCUCUCCUCAGAAACAGACUGUGAAAAACAGGUCCAAAUCCACUGAGGAGAUCCAACAAGCUAAAAAGGCCUUUCACACUCCCCAGAAAUCCCUGCCAGGGAAGACAGAACUAGAGAAACUUAAGGAGGCCUCUGAUGUCUCAGAGACAACAUCCUCACCUGAAGUGUUAAAAUGAGUGGGAGAUCAAAGCUGAAUGGCUAGUUGGCUAGUUUUGAGUCAUCCCAAAAAAAAGCAUUUCUGUCAGUAUCCACUCAAACACACAGCAACAGGGAGCCAAAACUGUGCAGUGGUUUGGCCUUGACUUUCCCAUUGUCAUCACCAUGCUUCAGAUAUAAAGCUGACGUAAUGUCAAUGUAAUGUCAGUCCACUGUACGUAAAGAACUGAAUGUGCAUUAACAAAAAAGCGACCUUGAAGUUCUCUUUCUCUGAAUUCAUUCUUCUUUCUUUAUUUGGUAAUCAGGGUAUAUCUUAAUACUACUAUAUAGAUCUGGAAGCACUUAUUGUAGACUGAAUGGUCUCUGUACAUUUUUCAUUUUAUAUAGUGUCAUGCUUCAAGUUAACUAGUAACUCUGUAAUGUGUGUGUAAAAAUAAAUCUAAUUAAAAAUAAUAAAAAAAAACUACUGUUUACCUCAGCAUAAUGUGAAAGACGUGGAAAUCACUCAAUUCUACUUCACCAGGAGCAUACUUUUAAAAUUUAGCCUGGGGGAAAUCAGGCAGGUUAGAGUCUCUUCUUGGUGAAUCUUACAUUCUGCACUUUUUUUUCUCUGACAGUUCUUCAUUUGAAAUUGCUAUCCUGUGUGAAAUGGUUUAAGUUUUACUCAGCAUCUGUUAAACCAGGAGAAUUGAAAUAGUUGUCAGGGAAUUCUAAUAAAAUAAAUUAAUUGGGAAUAAGAAAGUCAAAGGUAGAAGACUACUAAAAAAAGAUCCUUGUUUAAGGUAGCUUUCAAGCACCAAAUACCACAACCAAGCAAGUAUGACAGCCUGAUGGCCUCUUUCUCAUUUGUAACAGUUUCUUGUUCUUAAUUUUCUUAGAUGGUCAGAAUAUCUGUUGCUUAGAGUAUGUCAUUAAAUACUUUUAGAAUAUGUAUGUAUAUCCACAUACAGCUUGUGUGUAGCAGGCACGCUUUAGAACAUCAAUAUAUUUAGUUAAUUUUAAGGCCAGAGUAAUAGCUAUGCUAAUAUUGAAAUUAAAAAAAAAAAUUACUAAAAAUGAACAAAAAGUAAAUUACUUUCUGGAGCACAGAAUCCUCCCUCUGGUAUUGAUUUUUACUCUUUCUUAUUACUAAGUCUUACAUGUAUUAAUUUUUUCAAUCUCAGUAGGAGUUAUUACCUUUUUUAUCAGUAAUAUCAGAAUACAAAUAGCAUUCUUGUCCCAAAUUGGAACAUAUUCAGGAAUUGCAGUUUUAGAAACACCAGGGAAUGCUCUGUUCUGUAUAAUUUAAAUUGACCAGGAAUGCGACAUAUUACAAUUCAAUAAUUAGUUUAAAUAGUUUAGAAUUUAAUGACCUCGGUAUUUUUCUUUCUAUGUAUAACUUAUAUACUGUACCAUAAUUGUGACCUAUUCAUUUUAUCGGUCAAAUGCCAGAUAAAUACUUGAUCUAAAUUCUUCAAUAAACAUUUCUCUUUGACUAUCCCUAGCCAGUUUUCUGCUUCAAACAUACUAAUUUCAUCUUCCAUUUUAUGGAUAUUUAUUUCUGGGAAUGUGUUCUGUGAUAGUUUUGUUUUUCUUAUUUGAAGGUAAAGUACAUUUAUCACAAAAUGGACAUACACCUGAAUGAGCAUUCAUACAGUAUAUUUGAAUACAAAUUAUAGUACAAAAAUGUAAGUAUUGCUAUGGUUCUAGAAACAUUAUUGUUUAAACAAGGAAUGGUUGAUUCAGUAUAUUUUGUUGCUGAUAUACUGUAUAGUCACAAACAUAAUUAUUUUAAUGGAUUAAAGAUUUACCUCUAGCUUUCCUGUGUUAUUUGUAUUUUAUUUCUCUUUGUCCCUUCAUUUACACACUUGAACAUUACUCAAUAAAAUAGUAACUGAGAAAAGGAAAAUCAAACUAUUGCUUAGUUUUGUAUUAAUUUUACUUAAAAUAAUUUAAUGAAUCAGCAUAGAUAGAUACUUUAUUGAUCCCAGGACGGAAAUUGCAGUGCAACAGCAGCUCAACACAGACAACACCGCCACAGUGCAACGAAUGAUACAAUACUAAUAAUACAAUACAUACAAUACAAUACAAUCAGUACAGUGAGAAGUGCACUAAGAACAGUUACUUACAGUCCAGAACACACAAAGAACAAACCAGAACAGAACAGUAAACAAAAAUGUCAUAUUGCACAAUAUGACAAUAAAUAUAAAUGUAUUGCACAGGUCAUAUUAGUUUUUAUUAGUUUUAGUCAUCUUGUCUGGUAAAUAUUCCAUUUUCUUUUCAAAGAAGGAUGUCAUUCAUUAUCAUGGCUCUUAUGUAAAACUUU
Molecule: long non-coding RNA, 2864 nt
Organism: Lepisosteus oculatus (spotted gar)
Lineage: Eukaryota; Metazoa; Chordata; Actinopteri; Semionotiformes; Lepisosteidae
Source: Ensembl